This 276-nucleotide long non-coding RNA is filed under the name Gallus gallus (chicken). The record is from RNAcentral. Lineage: Eukaryota; Metazoa; Chordata; Aves; Galliformes; Phasianidae.
AUUUACCAGCACACAAAUGUGCACAGAAUGAAACUGUAGAAAACUGUCUGACUAGCAGGUUAAAGGCCCAGAAUUCAACCCUUGUUUAUUUUCUUUACUUGAUUUCUUGCUGCUACAAAAAAGAUGCGGGUAUAGCACAAACUUCUCUAUGUUACAAUGGAGCUCCAGAAGAUUUACGUCCCGUAUCAAUCAAGACAUGUGAAGAUAGGCAUGUAAGUGUAUGAAUUUAUAUGGAAUUGCUAAAGGGAGGGAAUAAUGUGAAAAUCUGGUAUGGAG